AGAUUGAACGCUGGCGGCAUGCCUUACACAUGCAAGUCGAACGGCAGCACGGGGGCAACCCUGGUGGCGAGUGGCGAACGGGUGAGUAACAUAUCGGAACGUGCCCUGGAGUGGGGGGAUAACUAGUCGAAAGACUAGCUAAUACCGCAUACGAUCUACGGAUGAAAGUGGGGGAUCGCAAGACCUCAUGCUCGUGGAGCGGCCGAUAUCUGAUUAGCUAGUUGGUGGGGUAAAGGCCUACCAAGGCAUCGAUCAGUAGCUGGUCUGAGAGGACGACCAGCCACACUGGGACUGAGACACGGCCCAGACUCCUACGGGAGGCAGCAGUGGGGAAUUUUGGACAAUGGGCGCAAGCCUGAUCCAGCAAUGCCGCGUGAGGAUGACGGCUUCGGUGUAACCUCUUUCAGCAGGACGAAGCGCAAGUGACGGUACCUGCAGAAGAAGCACGCUAACUACGUGCCAGCAGCCGUA
Molecule: ribosomal RNA, 471 nt
Filed under: uncultured soil bacterium
Lineage: Bacteria
Description: bacterial SSU rRNA
Rfam family: Bacterial small subunit ribosomal RNA
Source: RNAcentral